This is a long non-coding RNA of Salarias fasciatus (jewelled blenny), 793 nucleotides long. The record is from Ensembl. Lineage: Eukaryota; Metazoa; Chordata; Actinopteri; Blenniiformes; Blenniidae.
CACACACACACACACACACAAACGCACACAGGCAUACACUCUCUCUCUCACAGUGGAGGAAUAUUCUCCCCUCGGCGGACUAAAGAAGAGAAGAACCCUGGAUCAACUAAAGAAAACAAGCUUUCUGAGCGAGGCCGAUCGCAGAAACUGUGAACAGAGCCGUGCACGCCCAGAGAAGAUGGGUCGCGCUCGCACGCCUCCGCCAUUGAUAGGCGUUUCCUGGGAGAAGCAGCAGAGCCGGGCGGAUGGUCUGGCGCAAGCACGUUUUUCAAAAAUGAGUCCUGAAGCAGUUGAACUUCUCAUCGACCUCCAGAGGAAACUUCGUCAGAUAGAUUCAGAACCAGUCAGAGGGCGGAGCAGAGGAUCUCCACCCACACCGCCGGACCUGAUAGAGGUCUUCCAGAGAGCCACGUUCACCUCCCAGUUCCUAAAGAUUGAACCAGAACAAAAGAGGAACAUGGAUCAUGCUCAGAGGUUUUCCCAACAACUGGAAGCCUUGAAAAAGAGAACACCCAUGGAGGCGUUAUCAACCAGCGGAGUCCCAGCUGCCGUGUGCAUCGUGUUGGAGAUCGUCAUCGGAGGACUGGCGGGGCUUCCUCUGGUUGCUGCCGCAGCAGCAGCAGCUGCAGCUGCAGUAGGAGUAGCAGCAGGAGCUCUGGGAGGAGUCAUAGGAACAGUAGCAGGAGCGCUAGGAGAAGCAGCGGGAGCAGCAGUAACAGGACCAUUAGGAGCAGUAGCAGUAUCAGAUGUAGCAGCAGCAGCAGAGCAGCAGGAGCAGCAGCAGGAGUUUUAG